GAUGAACGCUGGCGGCGUGCCUAAUACAUGCAAGUCGAACGAAACUUCUUUAUCACCGAGUGCUUGCACUCACCGAUAAAGAGUUGAGUGGCGAACGGGUGAGUAACACGUGGGCAACCUGCCCAAAAGAGGGGGAUAACACUUGGAAACAGGUGCUAAUACCGCAUAACCAUAGUUACCGCAUGGUAACUAUGUAAAAGGUGGCUAUACUACCGCUUUUGGAUGGGCCCGCGGCGCAUUAGCUAGUUGGUAGGGUAAAGGCUUACCAAGGCAAUGAUGCGUAGCCGAAUUGAGAGGUUGAUCGGCCACAUUGGGACUGAGACACGGCCCAAACUCCUACGGGAGGCAGCAGUAGGGAAUCUUCCACAAUGGGCGAAAGCCUGAUGGAGCAACGCCGCGUGGGUGAAGAAGGUCUUCGGAUCGUAAAACCCUGUUGUUAGAGAAGAAAGUGUGUGAGAGUAACUGUUCACGUUUCGACGGUAUCUAACCAGAAAGCCACGGCUAACUACGUG
This 512-nucleotide ribosomal RNA is filed under the name uncultured bacterium. RNAcentral describes it as "partial 16S ribosomal RNA". It matches the Rfam family "Bacterial small subunit ribosomal RNA", at positions 28 to 507 of the family's 1533-position model. The record is from RNAcentral.